GACGAACGCUGGCGGCGUGCUUAACACAUGCAAGUCGAACGGAAAGGCCCUGCUUUUGUGGGGUGCUCGAGUGGCGAACGGGUGAGUAACACGUGAGUAACCUGCCCUUGACUUUGGGAUAACUUCAGGAAACUGGGGCUAAUACCGGAUAGGAGCUCCUGCUGCAUGGUGGGGGUUGGAAAGUUUCGGCGGUUGGGGAUGGACUCGCGGGUUAUCAGCUUGUUGGUGGGGUAGUGGCUUACCAAGGCUUUGACGGGUAGCCGGCCUGGGAGGGUGACCGGCCACAUUGGGACUGAGAUACGGCCCAGACUCCUACGGGAGGCAGCAGUGGGGAAUAUUGCACAAUGGGCGGAAGCCUGAUGCAGCAACGCCGCGUGCGGGAUGACGUCCUUCGGGUUGUAAACCGCUUUCGCCUGUGACGAAGCGUGAGUGACGGUAAUGGGUAAAGAAGCACCGGCUAACUACGUG
This 468-nucleotide ribosomal RNA is filed under the name uncultured bacterium. RNAcentral's name for it is "partial 16S ribosomal RNA". It matches the Rfam family "Bacterial small subunit ribosomal RNA", at positions 28 to 507 of the family's 1533-position model. The record is from RNAcentral.